Long non-coding RNA from Gastrolobium bilobum, 910 nucleotides. RefSeq lists it as uncharacterized. NCBI's taxonomy places the organism in Eukaryota, Viridiplantae, Streptophyta, Magnoliopsida, Fabales, Fabaceae. The record is from RefSeq and is a predicted model, not a curated record. The transcript has 4 exons.
AUUUUUCCAUUCCAUCCCCAUCCUUCUAGGCGCUGUGUAAGAGUAAGAAAAGAAAACUGAUCUCUUAUUUUCAUUAUUCAAAAGUUCAACUAACUCAACUCCUGACUCAUCUUCGCCGUGAGCUCUCAAAGAAAACUCAGCUCACUCUUACGCCCUUCCAUGCCGGCAAGCUCCAAGGAAAAGCACCUCGAACACCAUAGUUCAUCUUCUUGUAUUCUUCUCCCUGUUCAAUCGAACAUCAAAUUCCAAGCUUUGCAUGUUCAUUCCCUUCCUCACUGAUUCGGUCAAGUGUAGCAAACAAGGGGACUGCAACAUGAACUUAUCAUUCCCUUCCUCUUGUUCGGCCGUAGGCCCAUCUUAAGGAGCUGCAACCGACCCCUUUGGAGUCUAUGAAGAGCGAAGGUGAUACUCAUGGAGUGGAGAUUAUUCUCUGCAACUAUUUCUCUCUCGGUUGAUGCCCGGGACAAGUCGUGAGCAUUUUGGUGCGUUUUAGGAGGUGCUAAGGUCUCUAGUCAAAGGAAGUUGGACUGAUUUGUGAAUGUUUUGAUUAAAAAGCUAAAGUGUCAAGGAGUACGAAAGAGCAUUUGAUGAUGAUGUACUUGUAUUGGGGAUAUUCUGUUUACAUGCUGCUGUUGGAAAUUCUAUUGUCUGUUUACUGAUUUUGCUGAAUGCGCAUGAAAUAUUUGACGUUAGUGUAAUAUUUGGGAGAUUAGAAAAAUGCUAGAUCAUAUAUUAUUUUGCUGUAAUUUGGGAUUUAUGUACUGUUUGUAAAUUACGUAAUGUUAAACUCGUUUGCGAAAAUAAUUUCUGUCUGUUUUCAAAUUCGGAUUUUCUGAAACUGAUACUUGCGAGCACCUUGCGAGUUCUGUUUCUGGGGCUACAGAUCUCCGUUUGAGGCAUAAUUUAUAUG